CCCCUCUCAGGAUCGCACCUGGAGAGUUUCCACUACUCUACCAGUCUCGGCUAUGAGAGGGAGAGUCAAGCAGAGGCCUACCCAUUUCAUUCCUAACUUGGGCAGUGACUAGCGAGUGGAAGGCAAUCUGCUCCAAGU
RNAcentral lists this small nucleolar RNA (138 nucleotides) under Ornithorhynchus anatinus (platypus). Lineage: Eukaryota; Metazoa; Chordata; Mammalia; Monotremata; Ornithorhynchidae. The record is from RNAcentral.